This 102-nucleotide transfer RNA is filed under the name Thermodesulfovibrio yellowstonii DSM 11347. Its description in RNAcentral is "tRNA-Und (NNN) (tRNA-Und-NNN-1-1)". It matches the Rfam family "transfer-messenger RNA", at positions 279 to 374 of the family's 374-position model. Rfam says of the family: Bacterial tmRNA, also known as 10Sa RNA or SsrA, is named for its dual tRNA and mRNA-like properties. Its role is to liberate the mRNA from a stalled ribosome. To accomplish this part of the tmRNA is used as a reading frame that ends in a translation stop signal. Lineage: Bacteria; Pseudomonadati; Nitrospirota; Thermodesulfovibrionia; Thermodesulfovibrionales; Thermodesulfovibrionaceae. The record is from RNAcentral.
GGAAGGGCGAGCUAACUUCCGAAUCCUAAAACUUCCACUAAGCAUGUAGAUGCUUAGAAGUAGCACCUUCGGACGCGGGUUCGAUUCCCGCCGCCUCCACCA